UUCUAUAUCAGGGUUGGCAAACUUUUUCUCUACAGCACCAGACAGUAAAUAUUUCAAACACAACGUUGGACAAUAUGUAGAUAAAUGAGUGUGGCUGUGCUUUGGUCAAACUUUAUUUCAGCACAGUGAUACCCUGCAUUUUACAUAAGGAACUUGAGCAUCUCUGGACUUUGGCUCCUCUGUCCAUGGGAUUUUCCAAGCAAUGCCAUGAAAAGAAUACUGCAAGCAAGAAUACUGGAGUGAGUUGCCAUUUCCUCCUCCAGAGGAUCUUCCCAACCCAGGGAUGGAAUCUGUGUCUCUUGGAUUGUCCAGCAGAUUCUUUACCACUGCAUCACCUGGGAAGUGCUGGACUGCAUGAAAGAUGACCUAUGACUUAUUUAGAAACAUCUGGAUAUCUUGAGGCAUCUUCUAAGAACUCUCUCCUUAUUAAAGGACUCAAAUAUAUACAAGUGCUUGGGAAGAUUUUAACUCUUGUUCCUGGGAUGUAUGUGGCACAGGACUGAACAUCUUCAUAAAUGAGAGUGUUCCUUUCUUUCCAUUUCACGUAUAUUUACUUCUGAUGCCUAAAUCCUUUUGCCCAGCGUGGGGAAACAUCUCUAUUUCAUCUGGUGUCCUGCAAAGUUUGAUAGAACUGGAUCUAAACACGGUGCUUCCGUGGCUGAUUUCCACAUCUAACGCACACAGGACUCAGUGGUAAAGAAUCCACCUGCAAUGCACGAGACACAGGUUCGGUCUCUGGGUCGGGAAGAUCCCCUGGAGAAGGAAAUGGCAAUGCACUCCAGUAUUCUUGCCUGGAGAAUCCCAUGGACAGAGAGCCUGGUGGGCUAUAUAUAGUACAUGGGGUCGCAAGAAUCAGACAUGACUUAUCAACUAAACCACUACCAUACAUAUUUUGUCUCCUUAGGUAUGUUUAUUCCUAGCUAUCUUAUUCUUUUUCAUGUGAUGGUAAAUGGAAUUGUUUCCUUAAUUUCUCUUUCUGAUCUUUUGUUGUUAGUGUAUAGGAAUGCAAGAGAUUUCUGUGGUAUUAAUUUUGUAUCCUGCAACUUUACCAAAUUUAUUAAUGAUCACUAGUAGUUUUCUGGUAGCUUCUUUAGGAUUUUCUAUGUAUAGUAUCAUGUCAUCUGCAGAGACAGCUUACUUCUUCUUUUCUAAUUUGGAUUAAUUUGGAUUUUAUUUCUUCUCUGAUUCCUAUGGCUAGGACUUCCCCAACUAUGUUGAACAAAAGUGGCA
Molecule: long non-coding RNA, 1230 nt
Organism: Bos taurus (domestic cattle)
Lineage: Eukaryota; Metazoa; Chordata; Mammalia; Artiodactyla; Bovidae
Source: Ensembl